This 2208-nucleotide long non-coding RNA is filed under the name Equus asinus (donkey). Its description in RNAcentral is "lncRNA (ENSEASG00005036017.1)". Lineage: Eukaryota; Metazoa; Chordata; Mammalia; Perissodactyla; Equidae. The record is from RNAcentral.
GUUUCUCAAUGCUACUACAUGUCAGAAUCUUCUGAGGAGUUUUAAAAACACAAUGCACUGGGCUACAACCAAGAAAACUUUAACCAAUCUCCACAGGCAGGGCUGGGCACAGUAUUCUUUUUUUUACAGUUCCCAAGUGGUUCUGAUGUCCAACCUAGAGUGAGAACCGCUGAAUGUUCAAAAAUUAUUUUUAAAAUGAACCUUCAUUGUACUGCCCCAAAUGGAAAGCCAGUAUCACUUGCCAUAAAGAGAAGAUUGGAUUCUAACAAUAAAUACAAUGAAACCAAAUACAAUCUGAUACAAAAGAGAUGGGUAAGCGUUAGAGCUGUGAGGAUAUGCUUACUCCCUCAGUAAUGAGAAAGUCAGGGAACAGAAAAAAUAACAACUUCCUGACCACGGACUUCAAUGAUGCCAUCGCCUUAUGCCUCCACGGGUCAUGAGGGGCAGUGACCUAGUUACAGUCCUAUUUCAGAGGGGAGGUGAGAGGGAAACAUGACUGGCCCAGUUUUGCUACACAACUGGAAAAACAAACACGGAUGAACAAUGGGUGAAGGCCUAUCUGAGACUAAGAGGAAAAAGAUACGGCGACACCACAAAGGGAGGUCUGCAUGGGUACCAGAUUUACUGACUGCAAUUUUAGCACGGAAAGCGACCUCCAAGUUCAAUUGUACAUCCCUUGGUUAUUUUACAGAUGGUGCAAGGUCAGACCACACAGCUUGCCCAAGGUUACCAAGCAAGGUCAGGGGUAGUGCCUGGACCAGAAGCGAGAAUUAGAAGUCCAUCCCCAUGAUUUUCCACUGGAGGAAACUCAGGGCUCCUCAAGGAGCCGUGGACCAGGUCACGCAGCAGUGAACAAACAAGGGCAGAUUUCUGAAAUUCCGGUGUCUUACCACCAAACCCUGUAGCAUCUCUCGGGGAGAACAAAGUCAUUGGUUGUGUGCCCAGAAGAAAGCUUAGUACUCACGAAACCCAAUACGUCCAAUUUGCAGAUCAACACACUGAGACCCCAGAGGAGGGAGGGACCUGUUCAGAUGCCAAACAAAAGACAACCUGAUGACAAGCAGAGACGGUCAUUGUGUCCAGGACACUGUCCUAAGGCUCUUUAAUCUUCACAACAUUACGAGUCAAGUUCUAUCAUCAUCCUCAUUUUAGAUGGGGAAACUGAGGCACAGAGCCCAAGUACCUUGCCUGGGAUCCUAGAGCUAGUAAGGGGCAGAGAAGGAACUCCAAAGAUCAUUUCACAAAAAGGGAAACCGAGGCCCAGAGAGGAUGAAAAGGUAUCGGCCCACCCUUCCCGGGGUGGGGGAUUCAGGGUGGGCGGCCCGGAGGAGGUGGCGCGGCUCAGAAUCCAUGACUCCAAAUUUGCUCGCUCUCCCCGCGAGGGGCAGCUAUGACGUCACAUGCAAGCGAGGAGGAACUGUUACCGUGGAGACAGGGAAUCCCAUUCCGAAACCCGGGCAGGGGAGCCGAGGGUCGCACUCACCUCCCGGGGCACUUCGGAGCCUGCGCCUCUGGUUUGGGUAGGGAGGCCCUGAGCAUGCGCAGACUCCACCUCCCCGCAGCGCGACCAGCGACACCGCCCAAUUGCUGGAGCCUUGAGGACCCCCCAGCCUCCCCGACCGAAAACGCGCGGGGCCAACGCAAUGCGCAUGUGCACCCCUGACCCGUCCUUUAGGGCUGACGUAGUGGCCUCUCCGCCAAUUAGAAGCCUUCUUCCAGCCUUGCCCCGCCUCAUUCGUUAGGCUUCCGGCGUCUCGCUGUCUCCAAGGCAACCCUCUGCCAGAGGGCCUGGGAAAGAGCAGCCCAGAGGUUUCUGGGUAUUGUAGUCUCAAAGGGGCAGAGAAACAGGAGGCGCACAUGUUGGUAAAAAGGAGAUUGUGAUACAAAUACCUACGUCCAGGCAUGACUUUAUGGAUAGAAAGCGCCUGUCAUUAUUAAAUGCCCAGUAAAUGCCGGUUGCCAAGGAGACAGCAGUAAACAAGCAGGGGAACAGCCUCGGACGUUGUGUUGGGAGCUCGGCCCGUGGAAUUAUUCAAAUAAGCCAGUCACAGGAAGCGAGGCUCACCCCAAAAGCCUGCCUCCCAUAGCCCCUCCUGGUUCACUCUGUUUCUGAGCACACCCUCCCUCUGGCCCUGGGUGUCCUCCGCCCAGGCUGUGAGUAUUUGUGACUGAUAAACUGCUGCCGGCUCAUCUGUGCAGUGUCAGGUG